RNAcentral lists this ribosomal RNA (580 nucleotides) under uncultured bacterium. RNAcentral describes it as "bacterial SSU rRNA". It matches the Rfam family "Bacterial small subunit ribosomal RNA", at positions 8 to 585 of the family's 1533-position model. The record is from RNAcentral.
AGGGUUUGAUCAUGGCUCAGAUUGAACGCUGGCGGCAGGCCUAACACAUGCAAGUCGAACGGUAACAGGAUUAGCUUGCUAAUCGCUGACGAGUGGCGGACGGGUGAGUAAUGCUUGGGAACUUGCCUUUGCGAGGGGGAUAACAGUUGGAAACGACUGCUAAUACCGCAUAAUGUCUACGGACCAAACGGGGCUUCGGCUCCGGCGCAAAGAGAGGCCCAAGUGAGAUUAGCUAGUUGGUAAGGUAAAGGCUUACCAAGGCAACGAUCUCUAGCUGUUCUGAGAGGAAGAUCAGCCACACUGGAACUGAGACACGGUCCAGACUCCUACGGGAGGCAGCAGUGGGGAAUAUUGCACAAUGGGGGAAACCCUGAUGCAGCCAUGCCGCGUGUGUGAAGAAGGCCUUCGGGUUGUAAAGCACUUUCAGUUGUGAGGAAAAGUUAGUAGUUAAUACCUGCUAGCCGUGACGUUAACAACAGAAGAAGCACCGGCUAACUCCGUGCCAGCAGCCGCGGUAAUACGGAGGGUGCGAGCGUUAAUCGGAAUUACUGGGCGUAAAGCGCACGCAGGCGGUUUGUUA